ACUACCAGAAUAUUUGAAUGAAAAUCAUGGCGCGCAGUUUAAUUCCUUUUUAUCAAUGAUACCAAACUUUAACUGUGAAAGCAUUGAGUAUAGAGCAUGAGAAGGAAUUUAGGGUUGUUUUUAGUUGCUUAGGAACUCAUAUUUGUAGCUCUGUCAGUGAGGAAUACUGUUUUAAAAUUCCAAGAUGGACACUAAAAAAUCAUCCUAUGCAAAAGAAGACAACGAGAAUGAAGAUAAGGAGUGGGCUAGAUUAAUAGAGAGAAAGAAAGAGGAAUUGAAGCAGUUACGUGAAAAAGAAGAGACACUUUGUCAAAGAGAGUUGCAUUAUCAAAGAGAAAAGGAAGCUUUGUUAACACAGUACAAACAGGUUUUUCCUGAUAAACCAGAUUGGAGCAGGAAAAACAGCACCAGUGUUGAUCCAAAUAACUCAGCUGACAAUAGGCACCAGGAUGUGUUUAAAGUUGGCUGUCAAAUUCACCAGCAAAAAAAGCAAGAAAAGUUAGAGCUUCAACUUCGUGAAAAACAAGCAAGAAAAAUGUUGGCUGAAGUUGAUGAUGCUCUGAAAAUGGAGAAGAAAGGCUUUGGUUUGGAAACACCUCUCCUCAAAUGGUACCUAAAAAUUAAAAAUUAUAUUAAAAUGGAUGAAGAGGAGGAUAAUGAAAACAUCCCUGAAUCAGAGAAAUCCUUAUGCAUGGCAGACAGGAUGUUUUAUCAGGUGAAAUACCAAACAAAAGAUGGUAACCAUCCACAAUGGAACAUGCCUCUAGGAAAACAACAAUACCAAUCACUUCCUGGAAAAUGGUUAGAGGAGCUAUCAUUCAGCACACGACAAAAAGGCACUUGUGUACAUGUGACCAUUACUAGAAAAGUUUCAAAUUCUUGUUCUUCAAAAUCGCCAUUAGAUGCAAACAACUGCUUUGAAGAAUCUGAGCCAUUCUUCUUCUCCACGGACCCAUAUGUCACUGACUGCCACGAACGUGGAUUGGAGCUCCUUCUACAAAACGACCAACCAGAAAAAUUCAUAAAGGAUGUGGUUUGGAAUUACAUAGAUACAGAAACAAGCUAAGGGUAACCCACUGAGGUGAAAUUCCCUUUCAANAAAUGAUCACAAAUGCUACACAAAUGAAGACCCCCACAAAUGAGACAGUUGAGCUAUAUGAAUGAAGGAAUCAGUGAGAUGUAACAUCCAGUUUAUAAAAUCUUGAGCAAGAGUUUUCCUUUAAUUGGAUGAUGAAAUGAGGGCCGUCAGUACAACAAGGACAAGGUCAACAAAAACAUUGUGGCACAUCUCACAUCUCGUAUAUAGAAGAAAAGGUGUU
Molecule: unclassified non-coding RNA, 1319 nt
Filed under: Actinia tenebrosa (Australian red waratah sea anemone)
Lineage: Eukaryota; Metazoa; Cnidaria; Anthozoa; Actiniaria; Actiniidae
Description: somatostatin receptor type 1-like, transcript variant X6
Source: RNAcentral